This 765-nucleotide ribosomal RNA is filed under the name Gynaeseius liturivorus. Its description in RNAcentral is "eukaryotic LSU rRNA". It matches the Rfam family "Eukaryotic large subunit ribosomal RNA", at positions 1 to 617 of the family's 3401-position model. The record is from RNAcentral. Lineage: Eukaryota; Metazoa; Arthropoda; Arachnida; Mesostigmata; Phytoseiidae.
CUGAAAUCAAGUGUGACGACCCGCUGAACUUAAGCAUAUCAAUAAGCGGAGGAAAAGAAAUCAAAUGAGAUUUCCGUAGUAGCUGCGAGUGAACUGGAAUCUAGCCUAUUGCCAAUUCUUAUGUUUCGUACAAUAAGAGAUGAGGUGUAAAGGAGUUUCGUGUUGAACAGACGCACGGCCUAAAUAUUAUCGAGUGAGUUCUCAGAGAAGGUGAAAAGCCUGUUUGGUUGUGUCUGUCUGUUGAAUCGGAAUUCUUACGAGUCUAGUUGUUUGAGAGUACAACUUAAAGCUGGUGGUAAAUUUCAUCAAAGGCUAAAUAUAUGAGGGGACUAAUAGCGAACAAGUACCAUGAGGGAAAGUUGAAAAGAACUCUGACGAGAGAGUUCAACAGUGCGUGAAACCAUAUUGAGUAAAACAGAUAACUGUGUCGUUAUGCGAUGUGUCUAUCAACAGUACGUCGAGUAUUGCGAUGCGGUGAGCGUGAGCUAUUCAUUCAGACGAUCGCGUGCCGUUAGCAUAGCUUGGAGCUCUGUGUACUAGUGCAUAUCCAAUCAUUGAGAAACUAUGCUACUGCGGCAUCGGUGAACAUCAGACCCCGCCUAGCGGGAAGUUGUCUACUGGGCUCUGCUGGCGGCGUAGUUUAGCUGUGUGACAGCUGUGAUACGCGUUUGUCGAAUGUUCCUGCUUUGUCUGCAGAUUGGUUUAUUCCUUUCUGCGGUGAGUAUGGUACAGUAGGCGAGCGUAUCGCCAUCAAUGAUUGACAUU